This 401-nucleotide long non-coding RNA is filed under the name Elaeis guineensis (African oil palm). RNAcentral's name for it is "long non-coding RNA (EGUI_LNC071461)". Lineage: Eukaryota; Viridiplantae; Streptophyta; Magnoliopsida; Arecales; Arecaceae. The record is from RNAcentral.
GUUGGGUAUAAAAUACCCACGGUCGAAGUUCUCAGCGGGAUUAGCCCUUGCGAGCUCGGCCCAGACCCCUACGGGAGCCGGACUUCGCCUUUGACUUUAAUUGCAGGAAGACUCCAUCCGGACUCCUACGGGAGCUGGGCUUCACCCUCGACUCCAACGGCUGCAGAUAGACUCCACCCGGACUCCUACGGGAGCCGGGCUCCAUCCUUAACAUCAACUGCCGGUAAGCCCUGUCCCGACUCCAACGGGAGCCAGACUUCACCUUUGACUUUAAAUGCAGGAAGACUCCGUCCGGACUCCUACGGGAGCCGGGCUUCGCCCUCAACUCCAACGGCUGCAGACAGACUUCGUCCGGACUCCGACGGGAGCUGGACUCCGCCGACAACUUCAACCACAGAUAG